This 502-nucleotide ribosomal RNA is filed under the name uncultured bacterium. RNAcentral's name for it is "partial 16S ribosomal RNA". It matches the Rfam family "Bacterial small subunit ribosomal RNA", at positions 355 to 842 of the family's 1533-position model. The record is from RNAcentral.
UGGGGAAUAUUGCACAAUGGGCGCAAGCCUGAUGCAGCCAUGCCGCGUGUAUAAAAGAAGGCCUUCGGGGUUGUAAAAGUACUUUUCAGCGGGGAUGAAGGGGAGUAAAAGUUAAUACCUUUGCUCAUUGACGUUACCCGCAGAAGAAGCACCGGCUAACUCCGUGCCAGCAGCCGCGGUAAUACGGAGGGUGCAAGCGUUAAUCGGAAUUACUGGGCGUAAAGCGCACGCAGGCGGUUUGUUAAGUCAGAUGUGAAAUCCCCGGGCUCAACCUGGGAACUGCAUCUGAUACUGGCAAGCUUGAGUCUCGUAGAGGGGGGUAGAAUUCCAGGUGUAGCGUGAAAUGCGUAGAGAUCUGGAGGAAUACCGGUGGCGAAGGCGGCCCCCCUGGACGAAGACUGACGCUCAGGUGCGAAAGCGUGGGGCAGCAAACAGGAUUAGNUACCCUGGUAGUCCGCGCCGUAAACAUGUCGACUUGGACGGUUGUGCCCUUGAGGCGUGG